Molecule: long non-coding RNA, 3357 nt
Organism: Astatotilapia calliptera (eastern happy)
Lineage: Eukaryota; Metazoa; Chordata; Actinopteri; Cichliformes; Cichlidae
Source: Ensembl
CACAGACAGCAUCGUCAGAAGGAAAAUUGAUAAAAUAAAUUACAAAUGUUGUAUUGUUCGAUACAUAUGCGUACCGAACCGAAAGCACUGUAUCGAACGGUUCAAUAUCGAUACGAAUAUCGUUGCACCCCUACUAUCUAUCUAUCUAUCUAUCUAUCUAUCUAUCUAGAUAGAUAGAUAGAUAGAUAGAUAGAUAGAUAGAUAGAUAGAUAGAUAGAUAGAUAGAUAGAUAGAUAGAUAGAUACUUAUAUGAUUUAAAUGAUUCACUGUCUUUGGAUUGACAUUAUUUGAAGUUGCUAGUAGGCUUGCCCAGUUCAACAGUUUAUCUUUAAUUCAAUUCAGUUCAAGUGCAUUCAAAAAUCAAAAGGAAUCUAGAUUUGACUCUGGGUUUGUCUUGUAGGACCCUACUGGCCACAGUCAAUGCUGCACGGAAUCUAGUUACUUCACAAGAGAACUCUCUGAAGAUUUAGGUCCAUUGACCAAGAUUUCUGAGAGAACACAUUAUGUUUACUUGUGAUGGAAAUGAACAAAAAUAGAAGUGACCAAGGCCAUCCUGUGGACAGAGCUUAACUUUGAAGAAAGUAAAGAUUUAACAGCUGAUGAAGAUGUGACUGAAGACAAUGUCUUCGUCUGGAUUCAGGCCUGCUUGGUUAUGGGCAGCCUCCCUUUUGAUUUGAUCAUAUAAUGUGAAUUUUGGACACUGAACACCAGAUUUGCAACAAAACAGCAGUAUUUUACAUCCUUGUAGUUAUAAAAUCACAAAUUACUCAUCUCCUGUGUAGUAAUGGUGUCAUCAUGUUUACUGAAAACUGAAUAAUUACUUCGCUGCAAUUGUCACACUUGGCAAAGCUGAGUGGACCAAACUGCAUCCACUUCUGACCUGCAGGCCCAUUCUUUUUAAAUCCCCAUGCUGUGCUAUCUAUAUAAUAUGACAAACUUUAGAAUGCACCGUGGAUGGAUAUACUCCUAGAUAUUUCAUAUACGAUCUCAAAAUAUAUUAUUGUACUGUGUGCCAUUGGUGCAUAGAGAUUCUGUAUUUCAUUCAUUCAGUCCACAGGUUUUUGUUUUGUCACCUCAGUUAAUUCGAGUCACAAAACCCCCUGAAUGUUUUUGUGGUGCUGUUGCCUUCUUUGUGUGCAAAUAUCUAAUAAAAGAUCUAAUAAAUAAUAACUUAAGUAGGUUAAAUUCACAGUUACCUACUUUACUUGAGCUUCCCUUUUUACACCGCUCUCUAUUGUUGCUUCACUAUGCUUUAUAUUUUACUUCAUUAUCUGACAGUUUAUACUACUUUUGGACCUUUGUAUAUAAAAAAAACAAGUCACCCAGUUGUGCAUAGUACAACUAAAAGUAUUAAUUAGUUAAUCAAUUUUUGAUUUGCUUUUUGUUUUUGUUUUUAGACAAAAACAAAGGACUAGAUUGAGAGACUGCAUCUCAGCUCAUACAAAUGCCCUCAAAACUGAAAAUGAAACCAUAUGGCUCUGGGCCAGCACUCCCCACAUUACAUCAAACACAUGCAAGAAGACAUCAACUGGGUGGGUCUUGUUCACGAGUGAACGAAGAGAGGAAUGAGAGAUCGACAGAUGGAUGUUGCUGCAGCUGCAGUGAUGUGGACGCUAUACCAGUCUGUUGUGGUGAAGAGUCAUUCAAGAGGGGUAGAGUAGAGUUGCUACUCGUCCACAUCGAAAGAAGCAAGUUGAGGACACCAGUAGUGAUAAGCCCUCCGUCACAGAAGGUGUGUGGUCAGUGAAGAUGGUCACCUGCAGGUUUGAGGUCAUUGCACUUCCAACCCACAUCCACUGCCCUUAAGGGAAGUUGCAACAAUGUCAAAGACUUCACUGAGGCACUUACAUUUGGAUCGUCUAAAUCCAUGGCAGUCAUUCAGGCAGUAAUGCCAAGAAUGGAAACAAACCAUCCUUAAAAUGUUACAAGACACAAAGCUCCUGUGUUUGAAUGCAAAACAAAUGUGUUGUUUGAGCUGAACAAUAAAUACAUUUUAUACUGAUUAUAUCAGCAAUGUAACUUGCAAUACAAAGUUAUGGGAAGCUUUAACUUAGUUUCAGAAUAAUUAAAUCUGAGAAUUUGUCUCAGUGUAAGGUUAUUAAAGGUUUAAAUUAUCUUAACAAAUAAACAUACAAUUUAAUUGUACUAAUAUUUAAAAUCUAAUGGGGGAAUGGGAAUAUACUUAUUUGUUGUUAAACAUAACAGUGUCCAGUAUGUUGGCUGACAUACUUUUUUGCAUUUGAAAAAAAGGCUGGGAUAAUUUUAACUGCAUUGCAAGUGCUUUUAAUUUUUGUUUUUGAAUCAUACUUGUACUAGAAAUCUCUUAAGUUUAAGGAUGAUAAAACAUAAUGUGAUUUAGCUGCAUUUAUUUGUAUGUAAGGAAAAUUAAAAAUAGUAAGUCACCACAAUUUCUUUUUUUAACUUAGUAGAACUUGAAAUGUUUAUCAGUAGGGUAAACAAUUAGUAUUGCUCACUCAAAAAUAUCAAGUUAUUCUUAGUACUGUGUACUCGCAAUGAAUAAGCUGUUCUUAGUUAUCUUAAGUGAGCUUUACUUUAGUUCUGGGAACUAAUUCGAUUUUACAGGGCAUAAGGGCACCUCUUAGUUAAAUUAUGGAUGAUGGAACCUCAACUGCUGACACUACUGUCCCUAACACUGAGCUUUGAAUGCAACCAUCAUGGUCAGAACAUCUAACAGUCAGGUAACCCUUGGCUACUGGUAGGUUUUGUAUUACAGAGUGCAAGAAAGGUCUGUCAGAAGAUGUAUGUGGAGGGGCAGAAUAUUUUAUUAUUUCGGUAUAAAAGCAUGAAUGGACAUUCAAGUGUUUUUUUGAUAUUGUUUUUUUAUUUCAUCCCCACAUGAUCAGAAAUGUGUGGAGGUAAACAAUGCCAAGUUAUUGAGCUCAAGAGGUAGAGACCAACACGGUGAAUUCUUAAUAUACAUAUUCACAGUGUUGCCGUGACAAAAUAAUUAAAAAUAAUAACAAAAAAUGCAUUUUUCUUAGACAUAUCUACAACUGCUGUACACACAAGUUAUAGUUAAGAUGACUGCAUUUCUUUUAAUUGUUACAGGAUUUUCUGUCCACAUCCUAGUUGCAGGGUAAAAAUCAAGAAAAUAUAUACAUUUGUAUGCAAGUUUUUAAAAAAAAUUUUUCACAGCCUUAGAAAUGUACAGGCUAAUACAAUCCCUAUACAGUGUUUUUUUGUGUGUUUUUUGUAGGUUGUUGUAGAUUUGCUUCUCUAUAUAACAUAUAUAUAUACAUAGUUAUUUUCUGAGGUGUGAAAAGAAUGCAUACCAUAGGACACAAGAACAGAUUGAUAACAAGUCUAAAAAUAUAUUAAAUAAAUUACGUCAAAAAC